GGCCUUGCGCUCUUUGAGCGGCCGAUGUCAGAUUAGCUAGUUGGUGAGGUAAAGGCUUACCAAGGCGACGAUCUGUAGCGGGUCUGAGAGGAUGAUCCGCCACACUGGAACUGAGACACGGUCCAGACUCCUACGGGAGGCAGCAGUGGGGAAUUUUGGACAAUGGGGGCAACCCUGAUCCAGCCAUGCCGCGUGAGUGAAGAAGGCCUUCGGGUUGUAAAGCUCUUUCGGCCGGGAAGAAAUCGCAUGGGCCAAUACCCUGUGUGGAUGACGGUACCGGAAUAAGAAGCACCGGCUAACUACGUGCCAGCAGCCCGGUAAUACGUAGGGUGCGAGCGUUAAUCGGAAUUACUGGGCGUAAAGCGUGCGCAGGCGGUUUUGUAAGACAGGCGUGAAAUCCCCGGGCUUAACCUGGGAACUGCGUUUGUGACUGCAAGGCUAGAGUACGGCAGAGGGGGGUGGAAUUCCACGUGUAGCAGUGAAAUGCGUAGAGAUGUGGAGGAACACCAAUGGCGAAGGCAGCCCCCUGGGUCGAUACUGACGCUCAUGCACGAAAGCGUGGGUAGCAAACAGGAUUAGAUACCCUGGUAGUCCACGCCCUAAACUAUGUCAACUAGGUGUUGGGUGGGUAAAACCAUUUAGUACCGUAGCUAACGCGUGAAGUUGACCGCCUGGGGAGUACGGCCGCAAGGUUAAAACUCAAAGGAAUUGACGGGGACCCGCACAAGCGGUGGAUGAUGUGGAUUAAUUCGAUUCAACGCGAAAAACCUUACCUACCCUUGACAUGCCAGGAACUUGCCAGAGAUGGCUUGGUGCCCGAAAGGGAGCCUGGACACAGGUGCUGCAUGGCUGUCGUCAGCUCGUGUCGUGAGAUGUUGGGUUAAGUCCCGCAACGAGCGCAACCCUUGUCGUUAAUUGCCAUCAUUUAGUUGGGCACUUUAACGAGACUGCCGGUGACAAACCGGAGGAAGGUGGGGAUGACGUCAAGUCCUCAUGGCCCUUAUGGGUAGGGUUUCACACGUCAUACAAUGGUCGGUACAAAGGGUUGCCAAGCCGCGAGGCGGAGCCAAUCCCAGAAAGCCGAUCGUAGUCCGGAUUGCAGGCUGCAACUCGCCUGCAUGAAGUCGGAAUCGCUAGUAAUCGUGGAUCAGCAUGUCAUGGUGAGUACUUCCCGGGUCUUGUACACACCGCCCGUCACACCAUGGGAGCGGGUUCCGCCAGAAGUAGGUAGCCUAACCGCACUGGGGGCGCUUACCACGGCGGGGUUCGUGACUGGGGU
RNAcentral lists this ribosomal RNA (1279 nucleotides) under metagenome. RNAcentral's name for it is "bacterial SSU rRNA". It matches the Rfam family "Bacterial small subunit ribosomal RNA", at positions 209 to 1481 of the family's 1533-position model. The record is from RNAcentral.